CGGGUGAGUAACACGUGGACAAUCUGCCCCCCGGCCCGGGAUAGCCCAGGGAAACCUGGAUUAAUACCGGAUGAGACGGGACCCGCGAUGGCGGGAUCCGGGAAAGGCGCUGCGGCGCCGCCGGGGGAUGAGUCUGCGUCCCAUUAGCUAGACGGCGGGGUAACGGCCCACCGUGGCGACGAUGGGUAGCCGGCCUGAGAGGGUGGACGGCCACAUUGGAACUGAGACACGGUCCAGACUCCUACGGGAGGCAGCAGCUAAGAAUCUUCCGCAAUGGGCGAAAGCCUGACGGAGCGACGCCGCGUGAACGAAGAAGGCCGUGAGGUUGUAAAGUUCUUUUCGGGAGGGGGAACAACCGUGGCAGGGAAUGGCCGCGGGAUGACGUGAAUCCCGGAAUAAGCCCCGGCUAACUACGUGCCAGCAGCCGCGGUAACACGUAGGGGGCGAGCGUUGUUCGGAAUCAUUGGGCGUAAAGGGCGUGCAGGCGGUCCUGCAAGUCCGGCGUGAAAGACCCCGGCCCAACCGGGGGGACGCGCUGGAAACUGCAGGGCUUGAGUACAGGAGGGGAUGCCGGAAUUCCAGGUGUAGGGGUGAAAUCUGUAGAUAUCUGGAAGAACACCAAUGGCGAAGGCAGGCAUCUGGCCAUGUACUGACGCUGAGACGCGAAGGUGCGGGGAGCAAACAGGUUUAGAUACCCUGGUAGUCCGCACAGUAAACGAUGUGCACCAGGUGGCGGG
RNAcentral lists this ribosomal RNA (737 nucleotides) under uncultured bacterium. RNAcentral's name for it is "bacterial SSU rRNA". It matches the Rfam family "Bacterial small subunit ribosomal RNA", at positions 103 to 827 of the family's 1533-position model. The record is from RNAcentral.